This 493-nucleotide ribosomal RNA is filed under the name uncultured bacterium. Its description in RNAcentral is "bacterial SSU rRNA". It matches the Rfam family "Bacterial small subunit ribosomal RNA", at positions 24 to 518 of the family's 1533-position model. The record is from RNAcentral.
UCAGGAUGAACGCUGGCGGCGUGCUAACACAUGCAAGUCGAACGAAGCUCUUGAACUGAGGAUUCGCUGAAGUGAUGAGAUGACUUAGUGGCGGACGGGUGAGUAACGCGUGGGUAACCUGCCGUAUGCAGGGGGACAACAGUUGGAAACGACUGCUAAUACCGCAUAAGCGCACGGUAUUGCAUGAUACAGUGUGAAAAGAUUUAUCGGCAUACGAUGGACCCGCGUCUGAUUAGCUAGUUGGUGAGGUAACGGCCCACCAAGGCGACGAUCAGUAGCCGGCCUGAGAGGGUGAACGGCCACAUUGGGACUGAGACACGGCCCAAACUCCUACGGGAGGCAGCAGUGGGGAAUAUUGCACAAUGGGGGAAACCCUGAUGCAGCCGACGCCGCGUGAGUGAAGAAGUAUCUCGGUAUGUAAAGCUCUAUCAGCAGGGAAGAAAAUGACGGUACCUGACUAAGAAGCCCCGGCUAACUACGUGCCAGCCGCUGC